GGUUCUAUGGUGUAGUGGUUAGCACUCUAGACUUUGAAGCUAGUGACUUGGGUUCGACUCCUAGUGGGAUCU
Molecule: non-coding RNA, 72 nt
Organism: Ipomoea triloba (trilobed morning glory)
Lineage: Eukaryota; Viridiplantae; Streptophyta; Magnoliopsida; Solanales; Convolvulaceae
Source: the annotation of a RefSeq genome assembly